This 477-nucleotide ribosomal RNA is filed under the name uncultured soil bacterium. Its description in RNAcentral is "bacterial SSU rRNA". It matches the Rfam family "Bacterial small subunit ribosomal RNA", at positions 26 to 484 of the family's 1533-position model. The record is from RNAcentral.
AGAGUGAACGCUGGCGGUAGGCCUAACACAUGCAAGUCGAACGGCAGCACGGUAAGAGCUUGCUCUUAUGGGUGGCGAGUGGCGGACGGGUGAGGAAUACAUCGGAAUCUACCUUUUGGUGGGGGAUAACGUAGGGAAACUUACGCUAAUACCGCAUACGCCCUUCGGGGGAAAGCCGGGGACCAGCAAUGGCCUGGCGCUGAUAGAUGAGCCGAUGUCGGAUUAGCUAGUUGGUGAGGUAAUGGCUCACCAAGGCGACGAUCCGUAGCUGGUCUGAGAGGAUGAUCAGCCACACUGGAACUGAGACACGGUCCAGACUCCGUACGGGAGCAGCAGGUGGGAAUAGUUGGACAAGUGGGCGCGAAGCCUAGAUCCAGCCAUACCGGCGGUGGGUAGAAGAAGGUCCUUCGGGUUAGUAAACGUUCCCGUUUGGUUAGGGAAAAGAAAGUCGUAAGUUUCGGUUAACGUACCCGGGUU